RNAcentral lists this ribosomal RNA (119 nucleotides) under Pteropus alecto (black flying fox). The record is from RNAcentral. Lineage: Eukaryota; Metazoa; Chordata; Mammalia; Chiroptera; Pteropodidae.
GUCUACGGCCAUGCCACCCUGAACAAGCCCGAUCUCAUCUGUUCUCAGAAGCUAAGCAGGGUUGGGCCUGGUUAGUACUUGGAUGGGAGACCACAUAGUAAGACCAGGUGCUAUAGGCG